This 554-nucleotide ribosomal RNA is filed under the name uncultured bacterium. RNAcentral's name for it is "bacterial SSU rRNA". It matches the Rfam family "Bacterial small subunit ribosomal RNA", at positions 353 to 897 of the family's 1533-position model. The record is from RNAcentral.
AGUGNGGAAUNUUGCGCAAUGGGCGAAAGCCUGACGCAGCGACGCCGCGUGGAGGAUGAAGGCCUUCGGAUUGUAAACUCCUGUCGAGUGGGACGAAUGCCGUGAGGGUUAAUACCCCUUGCGGUUGACGGUACCNCUGAAGGAAGCCCCGGCUAACUCCGUGCCAGCAGCCGCGGUAAUACGGAGGGGGCUAGCGUUGUUCGGAAUCAUUGGGCGUAAAGGGCGCGUAGGCGGCNNAUCAAGUCGGAUGUGAAAUCCCUCGGCUCAACUNAGGAAUUGCCUUCGAUACUGUUCGGCUUGAGUCCUGGAGAGGGUAGCGGAAUUCCCGGUGUAGCGGUGAAAUGCGUAGAUACCGGGAAGAACACCAGUGGCGAAGGCGGCUACCUGGACAGGUACUGACGCUGAAGCGCGAAAGCUAGGGGAGCAAACAGGAUUAGAUACCCUGGUAGUCCUAGCUGUAAACGAUGGGCACUUGGUGUUGCGGGUAUUGACCCCUGCAGUGCCGAAGCUAACGCAUUAAGUGCCCCGCCUGGGGAGUACGGUCGCAAGGCUUA